RNAcentral lists this small RNA (147 nucleotides) under Stanieria cyanosphaera. RNAcentral describes it as "c-di-AMP sequence". It matches the Rfam family "c-di-AMP riboswitch aptamer (ydaO/yuaA leader)". Rfam says of the family: This family represents a conserved RNA structure found upstream of the ydaO and yuaA genes in Bacillus subtilis and related genes in other bacteria. RNAcentral also lists the same sequence under 1 other name. The record is from RNAcentral. Lineage: Bacteria; Bacillati; Cyanobacteriota; Cyanophyceae; Pleurocapsales; Dermocarpellaceae.
AGAGUAAGUUAGCCUAAUCCUUGCUUAAUAAAAUAAGCAAGAGCGGGGGAACCAAAUUCGGGGCGUAUCUCUAUCGAUGUAAAUAGAGAAGGACAUCUCUCAGUCCUAGCCCGUCAGCUAACCUCGUCGGCUUUGAGAGGAGACUGA